This 849-nucleotide ribosomal RNA is filed under the name uncultured Verrucomicrobiales bacterium. Its description in RNAcentral is "bacterial SSU rRNA". It matches the Rfam family "Bacterial small subunit ribosomal RNA", at positions 8 to 826 of the family's 1533-position model. The record is from RNAcentral. Lineage: Bacteria; Pseudomonadati; Verrucomicrobiota; Verrucomicrobiia; Verrucomicrobiales.
AGAGUUUGAUCCUGGCUCAGAACGAACGCUGGCGGCGUGGAUAAGACAUGCAAGUCGUGCGACAGACCAGGAAUUGAUUACUUUGGUUUGAUUUUCCUGACGAUGAGCGGCGAACGGGUGCGUAACACGUGAGAAAUCUGCCCUUAAGUUCGGGAUAGCCCUACGAAAGUAGAAUUAAUACCGGAUGUGGCCCAGGGAGGGCAUCUUCCCUUGGCUAAAGCUCGGUCACAGAGCGCUUUUGGAUGAUCUCGCGGUCUAUCAGCUUGUUGGUGAGGUAACGGCUCACCAAGGCUCUGACGGAUAGCUGGUCUGAGAGGAUGAUCAGUCACACUGGAACUGAGACACGGUCCAGACACCUACGGGUGGCAGCAGUCGAGAAUCAUUCACAAUGGGCGCAAGCCUGAUGGUGCGACGCCGCGUGGGGGAUGAAGGGCUUCGGUUCGUAAACCCCUGUCAUCUGUGAGUAAGGCUCCCAAUAAAAGCUUGGGAGAUUGAUAUCAGCAGAAGAGGAAGGGACGGCUAACUCAGUGCCAGCAGCCGCGGUAAUACUGAGGUCCCAAGCGUUGUUCGGAUUUACUGGGCGUAAAGGGUGCGUAGGCGGCUAUAAAAGUUUGGUGUGAAAUCUCCGGGCUCAACCCGGAAACUGCAUUGAAAACUAGAUGGCUAGAGGAUCGGAGAGGAGAUUGGAAUUCUCAGUGUAGCAGUGAAAUGCGUAGAUAUUGAGAGGAACACCAGUUGCGAAGGCGGAUCUCUGGACGGUUUCUGACGCUGAGGCACGAAAGCUGGGGUAGCGAAGAGGAUUAGAUACCCUCGUAGUCCCAGCCGUAAACGGUGCGCACUUGCUGUGGG